RNAcentral lists this microRNA precursor (144 nucleotides) under Mustela putorius furo (domestic ferret). RNAcentral's name for it is "miRNA (ENSMPUG00000020444.1)". Lineage: Eukaryota; Metazoa; Chordata; Mammalia; Carnivora; Mustelidae. The record is from RNAcentral.
CCACGGCGCAGUGCACCAGGAUCUUCCCUGCGAGGACAGACACACGAGGCGGCCGUGGGACCAUAUGUGGUGGGCUGGAGGCGGCGAGGGCUACAGAGUUGGGUGAGGAGGGAGACGGGGAAGCGGGGUGCAGACUGCGGGUGG